Molecule: long non-coding RNA, 345 nt
Organism: Leptidea sinapis
Lineage: Eukaryota; Metazoa; Arthropoda; Insecta; Lepidoptera; Pieridae
Exons: 2
Source: RefSeq, a predicted model, not a curated record
AAAUUUUCUUGUGCUCUAUAAAUCUUAAUGUAAAAACCUUAAAAAAAAUAUUAUUAAGCUUGUAGAACAUCAAGUAUUACAAUCUAUUUUUUUCAGUUUAGGUAAUACUUAACUACUUCGAACAAGCAAAAUGUGUUGUGGACCUUGUGGGGCUUGUGGACCAUGUAGUGGAUGCUGCGGUGGCUGUUGCUGCCCAAACAUCACCAUCUACACGUGCUGUACCAAGAUCUGUUAACAUUCAUUGGCCGAGUGAACCUCAAGACUUUGCGAAUUAGCGUUGGAGCGCUCGGUUCUCUAGAUGUAAGACUUAUUUGGUGACGUUUUGUGAAUAAAAUAUAAAAAUUA